GAAUGAGGCAGGGACAAACGCCUGCGUUGGCAGGACGCGGUGGUUAGGGCUGAUAUACUGCAGCUGGUUAAUACCUGGCCUGGGGAGCUGGGAGCAGCUUGUGUCUUUAUUGCUUGGUUUUUGGUUUAUAGCUCUUGGCAGAUACCCAGAGAACGAGAUGAGUCCCUGUUUUUAAUCCUGUUACAGAACCAACCCCACAACAUGAUGCUGAGCACCACGGAGCGUGCAGGCAUGGGGAAUACCCCUGCCACAGAGCUGUGCCUGCUGUGAUUGCUGUGCCCUUCUCCCGGGAGGUGCUGCCAUCCCCUGCACACGAGUCGGGGCAAAACCCUGGAUGUUCUGGCUCUCGUGCUUCCCCUUUGAGACAACGGGCUGUGCCUGCAGACCAGGAGUAGGAGGAACUUCCCUCCUACUAGGGAGGGGGUGACAUCCCACGCUUCAGUCUGCUUUGUUAUCCACGACUGUUUCCUCGUUGUGUUUGUUAUGGAAUUGGAGAGCACAGUUGGCAGACGCAGCCCAUGAACACUGCACAAGCUCUAUGAGGAGAGAGAAGAGCCACCAAAAUCUGCCUACUCCUCAUUGAGCCUCUGUGUAUUGCACGAAUGGUGGUCAUCAACCCAGGAUUGCCAGACCUGAGCCUCAGAGAGCAGGGAAGACGGAGUGUUUCCAAGUGCUGGGGGUUCCUGGCCCUGAUGCCCAUGUAGAGGAUGGAUCUCCUACUGCAACCACCCGUUUCUGUGCUGCUCCUGCUCCGGGUACCUCCAUACCUUCAGAGUGGGGACAUGCCGUGCUGAGGAUGGCUCGGGGCUGCUCCCCUGAGAGCCGAGAUGGAGCUCCGGGUAGAUCCUUAUGGGCAAACACACUGCAACCACGGUGUCUACUGUAGCCAUGUAUUCCUGCUCCUCAGGCUAUGGAGAGGUGAAAGACAAGGCGUCUGCGGGAACACGACCUCUCUGACAGACCCAGUUACACCAGAGCAGGCAGAGGGAAUGAUACACGCCAAUGGUGAGAGGAGAUACAGCAACUGCUCAGUUAAUGACAGUCACAUUAUAAAGGAGCAAAGAGGAGGAAAGCAGGAAAGAAUGCAGAAUAUACCCUGUCCUCCUGACGCCAAUGUCAUGGAAGCGUCAAGUGAAGAAGACAGUUGUAAAAAUGGAUUGCAUGGAGAAUGCCUCUCAAGCUGUUAUCUGUUAUUUAUAAGGAAUUAAAAUGCACUAGUUAUAUGUGCCAGAAAAAUGGGCUCAUCAGUACUGUGCUGAGAUGCAUUAUGACUUUCCGAUUCCUGAUUUCAUAGCUGCUGUACUCACUCGAAAACAUAUUUAUAUACUUUGUAUCAACUGCUACCCAUUGAAUUUUUAUUGUCCAUUACAGGGGAAAAUCUUAUGUUUCAAUUUGCAUCUCGCUUGAUUCAUUGACACACCAUUCAUAACUCUGGUCUUGUGGGAUUUCCUCGGGAAAUGCUGGAUCUCAGGCUGUGAGGAUAUCCCUUCCUACAGCACAUGAACGGCUGUUAAUGCCAUCACACCGUGGGCUGACAGAUGUCAAUGGAGUCCCAGCCCCCGCCACAGUCAGGAG
Molecule: long non-coding RNA, 1575 nt
Filed under: Strigops habroptila (Kakapo)
Lineage: Eukaryota; Metazoa; Chordata; Aves; Psittaciformes; Psittacidae
Description: lncRNA (ENSSHBG00005006364.1)
Source: RNAcentral